This 253-nucleotide ribosomal RNA is filed under the name uncultured bacterium. RNAcentral describes it as "partial 16S ribosomal RNA". It matches the Rfam family "Bacterial small subunit ribosomal RNA", at positions 524 to 776 of the family's 1533-position model. The record is from RNAcentral.
UACGUAGGAUGCGAGCGUUGUCCGGAAUUAUUGGGCGUAAAGCGUCCGCAGGUGGCAGUUCAAGUCUGCUGUCAAAGACCGGGGCUUAACUUCGGAAAGGCAGUGGAAACUGAACAGCUAGAGUAUGGUAGGGGCAGAGGGAAUUCCUGGUGUAGCGGUGAAAUGCGUAGAGAUCAGGAAGAACAUCGGUGGCGAAGGCGCUCUGCUGGACCAUAACUGACACUCAGGGACGAAAGCGUGGGGAGCAAACAGG